GCCAAUUCGUACAAGUUCAA
Molecule: microRNA, 20 nt
Filed under: Ciona intestinalis (vase tunicate)
Lineage: Eukaryota; Metazoa; Chordata; Ascidiacea; Phlebobranchia; Cionidae
Description: cin-miR-4001a-2-3p
Source: miRBase by way of RNAcentral